UGCACAAUACAGCUGUAGCUUAUUUAACUUAAAAUUAUAGGCUGCAUAGCUUUACCCGAUAGGCCUACAUCUAGUUUGCGGGGAUGCUGUGCCGUACGAAUUCCCUCCUGUAGAUGUCCUCUUUAGUGAACAGUAAUAGAUUCUGGAAACUCACAAACAGGGAGGAUCAGUCUCUCUUCCAGUGAUUUGUGCUGCGCCCCGCUUAAAAAAAAGUUCAAUACAUUUCAACUUCGGCAGUGGGCGUGUGCGUGAGGCGAGCACAACCGCAACGGUUUCACGGGAACGCGCCCGCUUGUCGCUACACCGUGUGCUCGACCACUUCACCUCUGCUGGUACCUGUUCAGCUACUUCAGCUCUCUGCGUGAGACGCUGAGGCAGAGAUGAGGGGGGAGAACGGAAAAUGUCCUGCCAAGCAGAGCUUUCUACCUGGAAGGGAAGGAAAAUUACGCUUCUGCAGCGUUGAGUCCCGUGAGACAAGGGGAAAUAUCUUCAUAUUUAUAUGACACUCAGACAGAAGAAAAUAAACAGACCUCCAGCAACAGACAAGAGGGAUCUGGCAGUAAUAACCCCCCAGGGAGAGGCACUGUUGAGGAGCGAUGUAAUUAGACCUGAGCAGCCUGCCAGCAGCAACAAGUGGACCAGAGAGGAGAAGAGAAACUUAAGUGUCCUUCUGUCCCUUUCUUCUCCUUUCCCAAACUAAAUAUCAGUGCCAUCAUAAAUUACCCAUAUGAGUGUUUUCUGGUCUGAUGCCCCCAUCAGCAAGACGACGUUGUCAGUGCCUUCCAAAACCAUUACAAAUGACCAUUACAAAUGUGGUUCAUAUGACUGUUUUCUGAUCUGCUACAUCUUUGGUUCAUGCCAGGAAAAGAUUGUGGUCAAGUUCAGGGGCGUUGGGGGGGCCUAGAAAUCUUUCAUGUUUUCACCUGUUUUCACCCCACACAGCAACUCUAUCAAUUGUGUCAUUUUCUGUUGCCACCUUGUUAUGCCCAUUUUCAAACUGAACCUUAUACCUACUUUACCUAUACAUCAUUGAGCUACAUUUUAAUUAUUAAAUAUCAUAUCGCUUCUGCGGUUUUCAGCAGGUUUUCUGCUCAUGUUCAAAAACUUCUGCACAUUCAGAAUCUCUCCCACAUAACUGUGUUCUCAGACAUUUUCAGAAUGCUAUUUAGAGACAAAAGUCAUAAUAUUACGAGAA
Molecule: long non-coding RNA, 1195 nt
Organism: Micropterus dolomieu (smallmouth bass)
Lineage: Eukaryota; Metazoa; Chordata; Actinopteri; Centrarchiformes; Centrarchidae
Exons: 3
Source: RefSeq, a predicted model, not a curated record